This 285-nucleotide long non-coding RNA is filed under the name Chinchilla lanigera (long-tailed chinchilla). RNAcentral describes it as "lncRNA (ENSCLAG00000029268.1)". The record is from RNAcentral. Lineage: Eukaryota; Metazoa; Chordata; Mammalia; Rodentia; Chinchillidae.
AUGUUAUCACCGUCCCAUCUGAAGGUUCCUCCAGCGCAUCAGACAGGACUCCGGAGACAGCUACUCCUCCCUGGCGCUGGAAGAUCUGCCCUCAAACCGGCGUCUCUGCACUGCGCAUCACAACCUGGGCCUCAAUUGGGAGCUGCUUGGAACACGCUCGUUCUCCUCCACAGCGGCUCCUUCCUGCUUCCGGCGCGGGGCGCUGGUCUGCAGUACGAAGGAACUCCUGUGCCAAUGAUAUCCUGUUCCCUCCUCAUAAAGUUCAGAAAGAAAGGGAAAAAUUGA